This 497-nucleotide ribosomal RNA is filed under the name uncultured bacterium. RNAcentral's name for it is "partial 16S ribosomal RNA". It matches the Rfam family "Bacterial small subunit ribosomal RNA", at positions 28 to 507 of the family's 1533-position model. The record is from RNAcentral.
GAUGAACGCUGGCGGCGUGCCUAAUACAUGCAAGUCGAGCGAACGGACGAGAAGCUUGCUUCUCUGAUGUUAGCGGCGGACGGGUGAGUAACACUUGGAUAACCUACCUAUAAGACUGGGAUAACUUCGGGAAACCGGAGCUAAUACCGGAUAAUAUUUUGAACCGCAUGGUUCAAAAGUUAAAGACGGUCUUGCUUUCACUUAUAGAUUGAUCCGCGCUUCAUUAGCUAGUUGGUAAGGUAACGGCUUACCAAGGCAACGAUGCAUAGCCGACCUGAGAGGGUGAUCGGCCACACUGGAACUGAGACACGGUCCAGACUCCUACGGGAGGCAGCAGUAGGGAAUCUUCCGCAAUGGGCGAAAGCCUGACGGAGCAACGCCGCGUGAGUGAUGAAGGUCUUCGGAUCGUAAAACUCUGUUAUUAGGGAAGAACAUAUGUGUAAGUAACUGUGCAAAUCUUGACGGUACCUAAUCAGAAAGCCACGGCUAACUACGUG